UACGUAGGGUGCGAGCGUUGUCCGGAAUUAUUGGGCGUAAAGAGCUCGUAGGCGGUCUGUCGCGUCGAUCGUGAAAACUUGGGGCUUAACCCUGAGCUUGCGGUCGAUACGGGCAUGACUGGAGUACGGCAGGGGAGACUGGAAUUCCUGGUGUAGCGGUGAAAUGCGCAGAUAUCAGGAGGAAUACCGGUGGCGAAGGCGGGUCUCUGGGCCGAUACUGACGCUGAGGAGCGAAAGCGUGGGGAGCGAACAGG
RNAcentral lists this ribosomal RNA (254 nucleotides) under uncultured bacterium. Its description in RNAcentral is "partial 16S ribosomal RNA". It matches the Rfam family "Bacterial small subunit ribosomal RNA", at positions 524 to 776 of the family's 1533-position model. The record is from RNAcentral.